AAGUCGUAACAAGGUUUCCGUAGGUGAACCUGCGGAAGGAUCAUUACCAAAAUAUCAAUUUACUCAACCCAUGUGCACGGUGAAUGAACUGUCUUGGUUUUUGGGGUGGGCAUUAAAACUGUUCACCCCAACCAUUUUGUUAAACAACUUUAUCACAUUUUCAUGGCAUUUGUACAUUUUGUCUAAUUAAUGACAACUUUUAACGGUGGAUCUCUUGGCUCGUGGAUCG
Molecule: unclassified non-coding RNA, 229 nt
Filed under: fungal sp.
Lineage: Eukaryota; Fungi
Description: partial internal transcribed spacer region
Rfam family: Eukaryotic small subunit ribosomal RNA (bases 1-46)
Source: RNAcentral